UACGUAGGGGGCAAGCGUUGUCCGGAAUUAUUGGGCGUAAAGCGCGCGCAGGCGGCGGCUUAAGUUUGGUGUUUAAGCCCAGGGCUCAACCCUGGUACGCACUGAAAACUGGGUCGCUUGAGUGCAGGAGAGGAAAGUGGAAUUCCACGUGUAGCGGUGAAAUGCGUAGAGAUGUGGAGGAACACCAGUGGCGAAGGCGACUUUCUGGCCUGUAACUGACGCUGAGGCGCGAAAGCGUGGGGAGCAAACAGG
RNAcentral lists this unclassified non-coding RNA (252 nucleotides) under uncultured Paenibacillaceae bacterium. Its description in RNAcentral is "contains 16S-23S intergenic spacer region". It matches the Rfam family "Bacterial small subunit ribosomal RNA", at positions 524 to 776 of the family's 1533-position model. The record is from RNAcentral. Lineage: Bacteria; Bacillati; Bacillota; Bacilli; Caryophanales; Paenibacillaceae.